This 1322-nucleotide ribosomal RNA is filed under the name uncultured prokaryote. RNAcentral describes it as "partial 16S ribosomal RNA". It matches the Rfam family "Bacterial small subunit ribosomal RNA", at positions 8 to 1342 of the family's 1533-position model. The record is from RNAcentral.
AGAGUUUGAUCCUGGCUCAGAUUGAACGCUGGCGGCAUGGCUAAAACAUGCAAGUCGAACGCGAACGGGGCUUCGGCCCUUAUUAGAGUGGCGAAAGGGUGAGGAAUACGUUUCUAACGUGCCCCGAGGUCAGGGACAGCAUCGGGAAACCGAUGGUAAUACCUGAUGAUCCCGGCGGAUCGCAUGUUCUGCCGGGCAAAGGCUUGCUGCCUUGGGAUCGGGAAACGUCCUAUCAGUUUGUUGGUGAGGUAACGGCUCACCAAGGCUAUGACGGGUAGCGGGUGUGAGAGCACGACCCGCCACAUCGGGACUGAGACACUGCCCGGACUCCUACGGGAGGCUGCAGUAACGAAUAUUCCGCAAUGCGCGCAAGCGUGACGGAGCAAUGCCGCGUGCAGGAUGAAGCCCCUAGGGGUGUAAACUGCUGUCAGGGGCUAGGAAUUUUGACCAUCCCCAAAGGAAGAGCCGGCUAACUCUGUGCCAGCAGCCGCGGUAAUACAGAGGGCUCAAGCGUUAAUCGGAAUCACUGGGCUUAAAGGGUGCGCAGGCGGACAGGUAAGUGUCUUGUGAAAUCCCACGGCUCAACCGUGGAAUUGCUCGGCAGACUGCCUGUCUUGAGCUCGGCAGGGGCCGUCGGAACUCUAGGUGGAGCGGUGAAAUGCGUAGAUAUCUAGAGGAACGCCAAAGGUGAAGACAGACGGCUGGGCCGACGCUGACGCUCAGGCACGAAAGCGUGGGUAGCGAACGGGAUUAGAUACCCCGGUAGUCCACGCCCUAAACGAUGUGCACUAGGUCGUGGUGGGUCUGACCCCUUCUCGGCCGAAGCGAAAGUGUUAAGUGCACCGCCUGGGGAGUACGGUCGCAAGGCUAAAACUCAAAGGAAUUGACGGGGGCUCACACAAGCGGUGGAGCAUGUGGCUUAAUUCGAAGCAACGCGAAGAACCUUAUCCUGGGUUUGACAUGUAUGGAUUAACUCCCUGAAAGGGGAGCCACGCCCUUUGGGUGGAACAUACACAGGUGCUGCAUGGCUGUCGUCAGCUCGUGCUGUGAAGUGUCGGGUUAAGUCCCUUAACGAGCGAAACCCCUGCCGUUAGUUGCUAACAGGUAAUGCUGAGGACUCUAGCGGGACUGCCGGUGUCAAACCGGAGGAAGGUGGGGACGACGUCAAGUCCUCAUGGCCUUUAUGCCCUGGGCUGCACACGUGCUACAAUGCCGCGGACAAAGCGAAGCAAUACCGCAAGGUGGAGCAAAUCGCAUAAACCGUGGCCCAGUUCGGAUUGUGGUCUGCAACUCGACCACAUGAAGCUGGAAUCGCUAGUAAU